Molecule: non-coding RNA, 971 nt
Organism: Sus scrofa (pig)
Lineage: Eukaryota; Metazoa; Chordata; Mammalia; Artiodactyla; Suidae
Source: RefSeq, a predicted model, not a curated record
CCCAGACACUGUGUCCUGUGGCUUGGAGCUAGGGGACCCCCUGGCUCUGUCUGGAAGCCAGUGGACAUUAAGAAUCCCUGCGGGGAAGGUUUGUGGGAUCCUCGCUGGAUUUGGUCACUGGCCGGGUGCAGGUGUGUACACGAGGCCUCAGGGGCCUCAGCAGACCACGGCUGGGGCCUGAGCCAGUUUCUCCAUCCUUUGUCCAGGGCUCUUGGAGUGGAGUGUGGGAGCUGUGCUUGGCAGGGAAUCACUGGCUGGCUGUCCUGGGGAAGCUCCGCGCGCUCCCUGACCACACAUCAGAGGCAAUCGCCCUCCACCCACCUGUGUCCUGGAAUGUGAUCACAGGCCACCCAGGGUUCACCGCGCCACAGGGGUCAGCAAUGGACCUGGGAAGCCUUCCAAGGCUGAGCGAGGGCUUCUCCCAUCUUCCCGCAGGGUGUCUUCUUCCGGGGGGAAGUGGCAGGGGAAGGGAGGCCAGUCCUUCUGGCCUCAGGGGAAUGAGAGGCCAGGGCUAAGCAGUCCCAGGAGGGGCUGUGUAGACAGUGAAGUCAGGGCCGUGUGGUAGCCACCGAGUAUGGACUCCUAACCCAGGGCUCGCUGAGGAUGGGCUUUUCUACAACAUUUGCGGGGGCGGGGGUGGUAUCUACAUUCUACUGGUUCCCUGAUCACAGGAAAAGAAAGAAUGAAAGGCACAUGCAAUAGGCAAGACCCGCUUGGAUAUAGCUUAAAGGGACCUGUUCCUGCCCUCAAAAUGCCUGUGACGAUGAUGCCCAAGGGUUCUCACCUGCCCGCCUCUCCUCACACCCACGCAAUUACAGGACCACCACAGCAUAAGCAGACUGAGGUGAGAAGCCAUGUGGAGAGAGAGACCAGGCCAUCCCAGCUCUUCCAGCCAACCCAGCCCAGGCCUCAAAUGGAAGCGAGUCCUGUCCUGGACACCCAGGUCCUGCUGGGCCCCAAGCUGGCGGCAG